Long non-coding RNA from Vombatus ursinus (common wombat), 1258 nucleotides. RefSeq lists it as uncharacterized. NCBI's taxonomy places the organism in Eukaryota, Metazoa, Chordata, Mammalia, Diprotodontia, Vombatidae. The transcript is spliced from 4 exons. The record is from RefSeq and is a predicted model, not a curated record.
GACAAAUAUGUGUAGUCAUGUCAAACAAAUUUCCAUGUUGACCAUAUCCAAAGAAAAAGAAAAAAAAGGAAAAUAUGCUUCUACUUGCUCCGAGUGCUUCAGCUCUCUCUCCAGGGGUGGACAGCAUGCUUCACCGUUGUUUACAAAAUUGCUAAAUGCAAAAAAGCCCGUGCAGUAGAGAUAAAGUUGGUGAUGCCUGGAGCUAUUGACUUGGCAAACCUGACAGAGAAAUUUUGCAUGAUAUCCCUUGCAGAUGUUGUGGUGGGAAGCAUUCACAGAGUCCCAGGAUAUGCUGCCAUUCACAGGGAAUCAUGAGCUCAUCGUGAACAAAGGUGUGAAAUUUUGUUCAUGGUCUGGAUUCUGAGAAGUCAGCUUUGCUGAGCCAGCAUCUGGACUCCAGAUGGGGGAUUUCCGAAAGGACUUCCAUCCCUCCCAUCAGUGUAGGCAAUGAAUAAUGGAAAUACAACCAAACAUUUCUAACAUUAACCUAACUGCCUGAACAAACCUGCUUGGUCCGUUCAUAAAAACAAAGGAGAACAAUAUCUCUGCUACUUAGAUGAUUUGGUCUGAGUUGUUUAGAAAGGCUCCUUUCCAAUGAGAAUUUCAUGGCAGAGGAGAGAAAUUAACAAACUCAACUCAGCAGGAUUGCUGGAGAAAGGAGGAUCACAGGGAUUUCAUAUUAUGAUGCAAUAUUAUCACUGUUAAAAUUUAAUAAACAUGUUUCAAAAUACAAACAAAAGCCAAGCUCGCUCUGGUGUCCCCUCCUUAUUCCAUCCCUUACAAUACAGGGGAAAGGGCUCUUCCAUAGUAGUCUAUAAAAAGGCCUUUUCUUCCUCCCCAUUACCCAUAGUACUCCCUAAUAAAGUCUGGUAGAAUUUCUUUCUGCCUUUCCAUCAGGAGCUUUGUGUGACAUCAGAAAUGGAAAAGUACCUAGCUACUGGAAAUACCCCAAAGAAAUAAGAACUAGCUACACACUAGUUGACAUGUAGCACAAAACAUCUAGAGCCUAUUAGUGUCACUGGCAUUGACGGUUUUUGAGUAAUGUCCUCCUUGAAAUUAAUGCGAUCUCAAAUUCAAGGGGAUUCUAUGAAAACAUCCAGGAAAGGGCUGAUGUUUCAGCAUGGCUGACUCCUGAUGCUUGGAUCCAUGAGAAAGAACAGGAGCUCAGUGAAUCAACUCAAGGAGUCAUAGUCCAAAUACAUCUUACAUGCUGGCCGCAUUUGCAGAAGUCUCACCACCACCAAGCCACACACCCUGA